Molecule: long non-coding RNA, 363 nt
Filed under: Elaeis guineensis (African oil palm)
Lineage: Eukaryota; Viridiplantae; Streptophyta; Magnoliopsida; Arecales; Arecaceae
Description: long non-coding RNA (EGUI_LNC081847)
Source: RNAcentral
GGUCGGAAACCGAACUAGGAGAUGAUACGUCGAAACUAUCACCCUGAGGGCAUUUAGUCCGGGUCUUCCGAGUAUGGCAUUGUAGGCCGACGGCACUUGGACGACCGCAAAGGUCAAGUGGACUGUGCUCUAUCGUGGUUCGGUUCCAACCAUCACGGGCAAAGUAACUUCGCCUUCCACCGUGACAGCAUCUCCAGCAAAGCCUAUCAGGGGCGUAGAGACUCUCUUGAGUCGGUCGAUCGACAGUCACAUCCGGGAGAAGGUCGAGUAAAACAAAAUAUUCGUUGAACUUUCAUUAUCUACAAAGAUUUUUUUUACAUCAUAAUUUGCUAUUAUUGCCGAGACAACAAUAGCGUCGUCAUG